GGAUAAAGUUCAACCUCGGACUGGACAUUCAACAGUUGGGCAAGACCUGAAGCUCACAGCAUGCACAUGAGGAAAGCAGCGUCGUACCCAUAGCUGGGCUUCGCAUGAUUCCAGUCGAGCAGCCAGCAGGGCUACCAGCUCACUGUCACUAAGGAAGAAGAGGCGGGGGAAGUGAGCACACACCCCAUAGAGCACGCUCUCCAGACUCAUGAUGAUGCCCUCCAGCUCCACCGAUCCUGCUUGCAGCAGUUGUUGCAGCUGCUGGCCUUGGAAGUAAGGGCUCCUCUCGGCACUGGGCACUACAAGUGACAGAACCAUGGGGUCAGCUACAGAGAUGCGCAUCAGGGUUCGAUACUGGUCAUCCAUGACCUUGAAACGAGAGUUCUGUGGUGAGGGAGAGGAUAAAAGUGAGGGCCAAUAUGAAGUGGCAGCUCCCCUUUCCCACGCUGAGCCCUGCUAUUCAGGAACCCUUCUUGCCCUCUCUGCCUCAACCCCCUUCCCUACCAGGUCAGCAUUAGGAAACUGGAUCUUCAUCUCAUGCAGAACUUUAUUCAGAAAAAUCCACUUCUGCUGGAAAGUCAGCCACACCUCCAGCAGGGCACCUGUGUAAGCAGCCAGAGGAAUGCUGGUGGGAAACACUAGGGUUCUACCUUCUGCAGGGGAGUCCACCCUGCUCCUGACCUCUCAGGUACCCCACCAGCCCAAGCAAAAUACUCUGCCCAGCAGGACUCAGGGAACUUGCUUGAGGGAGAAAAAACUUUCACUGUGAAUAAAAACCUGAUCUCUUCAUCCCAAGAAACAGCCCUGAAGGAGGUCCUCACUGUGUUCUUCAUAUCUUCUCCCACCCAACCUCCACCUCUCACCCCCAUCCCUCUGGGACA
Molecule: long non-coding RNA, 881 nt
Filed under: Homo sapiens (human)
Lineage: Eukaryota; Metazoa; Chordata; Mammalia; Primates; Hominidae
Description: non-protein coding lnc-RRP8-5:1
Source: RNAcentral